UGAGGCGCGCCGAGUUUGAUCCUGGCUCAGAACGAACGCUGGCGGCGUGCUUAACACAUGCAAGUCGAACGCGAAAGAGUUCUUCGGAACUUGAGUAGAGUGGCGCACGGGUGAGUAACGCGUAAAUAAUCUACCCUGAUGUUCGGAAUAACCAGCCGAAAGGCUGACUAAUACCGGGUACAUGUUUUGCUGCGGGGCGAAACAGGAAAGGUGGGGCUCCUUCGGGACCUACCGCAUUGGGAUGAGUUUGCGUACCAUUAGCUAGUUGGUGGGGUAAAGGCCUACCAAGGCAACGAUGGUUAGCGGGUCUGAGAGGAUGAUCCGUCACACUGGCACUGGAACACGGGCCAGACUCCUACGGGAGGCAGCAGUGAGGAAUAUUGCGCAAUGGGGGAAACCCUGACGCAGCGACGCCGCGUGAGUGAGGAAGGCCUUCGGGUCGUAAAGCUCUGUCAGAUGGGAAGAAGUGUAACGUAACUAAUAUUUGCGUUAUUUGACGGUAC
This 503-nucleotide ribosomal RNA is filed under the name uncultured bacterium. Its description in RNAcentral is "bacterial SSU rRNA". It matches the Rfam family "Bacterial small subunit ribosomal RNA", at positions 1 to 478 of the family's 1533-position model. The record is from RNAcentral.